Molecule: ribosomal RNA, 1521 nt
Filed under: Triticum aestivum (bread wheat)
Lineage: Eukaryota; Viridiplantae; Streptophyta; Magnoliopsida; Poales; Poaceae
Description: partial small subunit ribosomal RNA
Source: RNAcentral
AUGGAUCUUGUAAGUGCUAGCGCGACACCACAGGCUCUAGGGCUCCUCCUACUCUUCUUCCUCGUCGCCCUGCACCUGGCGGCGUCGAGUUCGGGAGCAGAGAAGCUGCGCAGCAAGCUCCCAUCGCCUCCGUUCAAGCUCCCCGUGAUCGGGCACCUCCACCUCGUCGGGUCCCUCCCCCACGUCUCCCUCCGCGACCUCGCCAGGAAGCACGGCCCCGACGUGAUGCUCCUCCGCCUCGGCGCCGUCCCCACGCUCGUCGUGUCGUCCCCUCGCGCUGCCAAGGCCGUCCUGCGCACGCACGACCACCUCUUCGCGUCCCGGCCGCACUCCGCCGUGGGCGACAUCCUCUCCAACGGCUCCACCAACGUGGCCUUGGCCCCCUACGGCGACUACUGGCGGCGGACCAAGAAGCUCGUCACCACCCACCUCCUCGCCGCCAGGAAGGUCCGCUCCAACCGCGCCGCCCGCGAGCAGGAGGUGCGGCUGGUCCUGGCCAGGCUACGGGCCGCGGCCGCCGAUACCGCGCGCACGGCGGUGGACGUGAGCGAGCUCUUCAUCUACUUCGCCAACGACGUGGUGUGCCAGGCCGUGCUGGGCAGGCUCCCCCGGGAGGCCGGCCGGAACCAGAUGUUCCGGGAGCUGUUGGAGAUCCACUGCAAGCUCUUAGGGGGGUUCAACCUGCCGGACUACUUUCCGAUCUUGGCGAGGCUGGACAUGGUGACCGCCAAGGCCGUGAAGCUGAAGAGAAGAUGGGACGACGUACUGGACGACCUCAUCGACAAGCACGCGAGCAAGAUGGCGAAUGACGAUGAGGAGGAGGACUUCAUCGACGUGUUGCUCUCCGUUCAACAGGAGUACAGCCUGACCAGAGAUAACAUCAAGGCAAUACUAGUGGACAUGUUUGAAGCCGGGACAGACACAACUUACAUAGCACUCGACUACGCCAUGGCUGAGCUGAUGCGGAAACCACAGGCAAUGGCCAAGCUGCAAGCCGAGGUGAGAGGGUGCGCCACCAAGGGAAAAGAGAUGGUGACCGAGGACGACCUAGGAAGCAUGAGCUACCUCAAGGCCGCGAUGAGGGAAGCGAUGCGGCUGCACCCGUCAGGGCCUCUCAUGAUACCCCACCUCUCCGUGGCGGACUGCGGUGUAGAGGGCCAUACCAUACCCUCCGGGACGCGUGUGAUCAUCAACGUGUGGGCGAUAGGCAGGGACGCCGCCAGCUGGAAGGACGCGGAGGAGUUCGUGCCCGAGCGGUUCAUGGAAGAAGCCAUGGAUGCCACUUGCGACUUGCAGGGAAACGACUUUCGUUUCUUGCCUUUUGGGUCUGGGCGAAGGAUGUGCCCGGGUAUAAGCUUCGCUGCCGUCACUUUCGAGAUCAUUCUGGCCAACCUUGUCUACCACUUCAACUGGGAGCUACCGGAGGGAUCCUCUAGCGUCGAUAUGACGGAGGAAUUCGGGUUUGAUGUGCACCGCAAGGAGAGGCUGCUUCUUGUGCCACGUGUGCCUCACCACCUCUAG